UCAUACCCAUUUACUGGGGGAUUGCUCACACCCAGAUCCUGCAAGCUUUUCAGCUGGUGGCAUCUUGUUUCCCGCUUCCCGCAGGAUCUUUCAGCGCCCUGAUGCAUCUGUUAACAAGAACCGUCUGAUGCCACGGAACCGAGCCUCAGGCUCAGUACGAAGUGCAGCUUUCUUGGGGCUGGCGAUCGAUGUUGAGAGCAGGCAGACGUACGUUCUUUGUUUCUUCCAGGAAGUUAUGAAGAAAAGAUCACACAUCUUGGAAAGUCCCUUAAGAAUUUCACCCGUCUUAAAACGCUAGACCUAUCUCGUAAUUCUCUUGUUACAUUAGAGGGGAUCCAGCAUUUGAUUCAUCUGGAAAAGCUCAACCUAUAUUAUAACAAGAUAACAAGUUUGAAAGAGAUUUUUCUCCUUCGUAAUCUGGGUUGUUUGAAAGAACUUGAUCUGAGACUGAACCCUGUGUCCAAAAAUGAAUCAGACUAUCGACUUUUUGUUGUGCACAUGCUCCCCAAUCUUAGACGAUUAGGUAAGUACCUUGUUAGGCUUCGGUAACAACAGUCACCUUCAUUCUUUUCUUGGCUGCUGAUCAUUCGUGGCUUAUCAACAGUGAGAAGCUUGAGAUCCACUCCAGACAAUUGAGUACAGAAUCUAGACUGAUACUACCUCUACCUGCAUUGACAGUCUUUUGGUUAAGAUGUUAAACCAAAGCCCUGUCCUCUUAAUGGGCAUAAAAGAUUCUGCUGCACUAUUUGAAGAAAAGCAAAUGAGUUUUCCCUGGAUCCUUGCCCAUAUCUAUCCCUUGACUAAUGUCACUAAAACAGAUUAUUUGGUUAUUAUUACAUUGUUGGUUGUGACGCUUUGCUGUGUGCAACUUGGUUUAUAUGUUUUCUACAUUACCAACAUGACUACAAUUCAAAAUAUACUUAAUUGACGCUAAAGUACUUUGGGAUCUUAUUGGGUUGUGAAAAGGGGUUCGUGCAAGUUUGUUCUUUUACAGAUUAUGUCAAUUCAAUUAGGUUAUUGCUGAGUGUAAAGAAAAAAGUGCUGUCACUUUCUUUUAAAUUUUGUGACGUUUACUCAUACCAAUUUUCUCAUGUACUGUGAAAUGUGUGUGUAUGUAUGUAUAAAAUGAAUGCAAUAGCUGAAAAUUAAAUGGGUUGAGAGAUUAAAUAAUUACUGCCAAAUUGCUGUGAUUGAAGUCAUAAAAUGUAUGAAUUUUAGAUUUUGGAAUUUUACAGCACUAAGGGAUAUCAUUCAGCCCUUUGACUUUGUAAGUAAGUCAGUACAAUACAUAGUACAGUACAUACUUACACUCAUUGCCUUAUUUUUCCCAUAGGCCUUUUAAAUAUUUGAUUCAACUGUUUACCAACUUCCUUUCUGAAAGUUUUUAUGGGCCUUGCUUCCUUUGAAACUUCAACUUGUUGAAGUAUUUGUUCAACAACAGGCUGUCAUGUUUAGGCUCUUUUAAAUUUCGUGGCAAUAUUUUUAAGUUAAAUAGCUGUUUUGUCUUAGGCAUUGUCUCUAUUCAUAGCUUUAGGAAAUGUUGGCACUUGAUGGUUAUGGAAGCCUAUGUGCAUGCUAUGCAACAUAACCAGCAGGUAUUGAUUUAAAAUCCGGCAAAUUGAUUCAGUAAAGUUUCACAAGUUUGCAAAGGAAUUGUGUAAAACAGACAGCUGGAGUUUUCUGGACUGAGUUAAGAUUAACAGACUGUGCUAUAUCCCUCAAACUAGGUCCCCCAUGUCUGAAUUGAAUGAUGGAACAGAUUUGAGCGGCUUUUCUUCCUCAUUUGUUCAUGGGAUGUGAUUGUUGCUAGACUAGGAUUUACUUCCCAUCCGUCAUUACCAUUGAAAGAUGGUGGUGAGCUCCAGGCUGCAACCACAGACCCAGCAACUGUGAGGAAUGGUGGUAUAUUUCCAACUUAAGAUAUGGUGUGUGACUUGGAGGAGAUCUUGCAGAUGGUGGUGUUCCCACACAUCUGCCUUUGUCCUUCCAGCCAGUAACGGUUGAGAGUCUGGAAGGCUGAAUGGCUGCAUUCUGUUAUUAUUUACUUGAUGCUGCUACGUUCAUGUAAUGCCAGGGAAUUAAAGACCGAACUGGUCAACUUUAUUUUUAUAUACAUUCUAGGAUGUGGACGUUGUUGGCAAAACUAGCAUUUAUUGCCCUGUGAGGAGGUUUGAUUUGAUAGUGGUGUGACAAUCUUGAAGGAUUUUUACAGAAGGAAACUGUAUGCAUUAUUGAAAGGAUCAAGAGGCAGAGGACACAGAUCCAGGUUGAUUGUUAAGAGAAGCAAUGGUAACAUGAGGAAAACUAUCUUUUUCCCUUGCGCACCGAAUGGUUCAGAUUCACAAUUCUUCAUCUGAAUGUGUGAUGGAGGCAGACCCAACUGUGGGUUCCAAAAGAGAAUUGGACAAUGGUCCAAAGAGAAUGAAAUCUAUUAGACAUUUAGAGUGUGCAUCUUUUAUGAAAUAUGCAAGUUUCAAGUAAUCUAGGUCAUGACAAAGGGGAAGUUAAAUGUAUUUUGCCACAGACUAUGAUUCACUAAAGUUUGAAAAAGACUACAUUAUUAGGUGUAAUACAUCGAGUAUUUUCUGGGCUCCAAGCAAUUGCAGUUUUUUAGCAUCAAAAUUUCAAAAACUUCAUCACAAGAAUGGCUAUUAAUUGAACAGGGUUUAGGUCAUGAGGUUUAAAAUUUUAGGAAAACCAAACUGAGUUAUUGAUUGUGGGGAUUGGACGUGUCAUUUAAAGUUUGAAAAGGAGAACUGAAGUUUAAUAAAUCUCUUGAAGUAAAUACACAGUUCCCAAUAAUUCUAUGGCCUCCUUAAUAUUCCUAUCCAAGUACACAACUUAUGCUUAUCUAUAUUGAAAUUAAUUUGUCAAUUGCACACCCAUAAGCAAAUUUACUGAUAUUUUCCAGUAUUUUGUAGCGGUCCUCAUCUGUAUUAAAUACACCAGCAUGAUGUUGACAUUUUGACAUUGUACUGUUGGUCCCAGCACUGAAGAAAAAUCACUUCCGACCUUUUGCCUGUCUGAAAUGUAACUUCUUUCGUCUUUCUUUAUGUAGCCAACUUGUUAUUCAUUCUGAUACUUGUCCUGUGUAUUCUCUGACCUGUCAUAAAUAUACGUUAUCAAAGGAUGUUUCAAAAUCCAAA
Long non-coding RNA from Rhincodon typus (whale shark), 3146 nucleotides. RefSeq lists it as uncharacterized. The record is from RefSeq and is a predicted model, not a curated record. NCBI's taxonomy places the organism in Eukaryota, Metazoa, Chordata, Chondrichthyes, Orectolobiformes, Rhincodontidae. The transcript is spliced from 3 exons.